UUUUUUUCAUACAUACAAACUGAAUUGUAAACUCUGCAUAGGCUCUGAUGAGUUGUUUUCAGUAUGUAGGUUUCAGUGGUAAAAGUAAGGUCUCGCGGAAUUUUUUUCUGACAUAAUUAAAAAUAUUAGAAUAUGCAAAAUCUUGGUCCUAAAUAGAGAAUGGGGGCAUGCAGAAAAAGAAUAUUUUCUGAAUAACAAAUGGCAGAUAUUGACAAUAUAUGAUACUUAUACAAAUCCUUGUGUGUUGAAUGUGCACUUUUAGAAUGACCUUAUGUAAAAAUAUUUCCCAUUAAAUACUUUUGCAUAUAGCAAUUCUAAUUAAUUCUUUACAUUUACCCUCUUCUUUUUUAAUCACUGUUGUUAUUGUACUAAGCAUUGCAUUUUAUAUUCUACUAAAAUUCUGUGUUUUAAGCUUUGGAGGUAAUUCAAAUAACUGAAAUAUAAAAUCCCAAGUCACAUCUUAUAAGUAUUAUGUCAGGAAGAUCUAUCACAAUCUGUCAUCAUUUAUGAAGCCCUCACCUAUCAACUACAUAAAACAACUAUGGUCAGUGUUUCCUAACAAUCAUCUUCAAAACAUCAUAAAAAAGCAUGUCAUAUGAGAGAAAAAAAAUCCAAAAUGUGGGAAUCUUUACUUAUUUAGCAAGGAGCCCAUGUCUUGAAAACAUUAUCUUAGCUUUCUCUGUUGAAGUAUAAUCACUGUGCUCUUAGGCACCCAGCCUAAAGGCAGACAGAGUUACAUGCAAGUAUUUUAUUGCAAAAAUAUGUAGAAAAGUUUAAAUCUUUUCCUCCUGGGAAAUAAUUCACAAAGAACCAUAAUUCUUUGAAUAUUCUAUUGAGUAUCCAAAGUGUGUGAAAAUAAGCACCCUGUGUAUUCAUGGUGGAUUGUAUAUUGCAAUAAUCCAUGUAGAAUACAAUCUGGAAAAAGUGUCUUAUAUGCCUUAAAAUGUCAUUAGAUUUCAUUGGACUCAGCAAUAUAAUUUUCAUGCAACUUUUUAAAAAAUACAUGUGUGAGGAUAAUCAUCACGCCUUUUUAUUUAUUUAUUUUUUAAAACUUAAAUCUUGGAUUUCCGUCAUGGCACAGUAGCUAACAAAUCCAACUAGGACCAUGAGGUUUCAGGUUCGAUUCCUGGCCUUGCUCAGUGGGUUAGGGAUCUGCAUUGCCAUGAGCUGUGGUGGAGGUCACAGAUGCGGAUCAGAUCCCGUGUUGCUGUGGCUGUGGUGUAGGUCAGCAGCUACAGCUCCAAUUGGACCCCUAGCCUGGAAACCUCCAUAUACCACAGGAGCAGCCCUAGAAAAGGCAAAAAGACCAAAAAAAAAAAAAAAGAAAGAAAAACUUAAAUUCCAACACUUGAUUAUUGAUAAAGUUAUGGUAAUAGCGUAUAAUAGAAACUAUACUUAUAUCCAGCCAUUAAAAAUAAUCAUAUGUGAAAAAUAUGUAAUCACAUGGAAAAUAUUCAUUAAAGAAUGGUAAGUGAAAAUAAGAGAUAUGAAAUAUAUAACAUACUGGGAGUACAUAUGCUAGAGUGCUAAGAGUAGAUGGUUUUGUGUGUUACUUUGCGUCUUUCUGCUCUGCCAAAUUAUUUGCAUUGAACAUUCAUUACUUCUGGUAUUUAGAAAAUGUUUUUAAAUGAGGUAAAGGGCAAAGUUUAUGAAGAGUUUAAGCGAUGUAAAGGGAUACUUAUGGUAGAAUGUCAAAAGAAGGAAAGCAGUUUUGCACAAUGCAUAGAUACAAACAUCACAAUGACAAGGCGCCUAUGCUGGCCCACAUCAUGGGUAGCCUGUUUUCAGCCAUGUGACGAGGACACAGCUCUUAACAGCAGCUAUCGAGCUGUGGGCAGAAGCAGUUCCAGGGAUUUGAUAAGACUGGAAUACUAGAACAUAGAAUAAAAGUAAAACAAAACAAAACCAAACCCUCUUAGAGCUUUCUGUUGUGAACAGGGUACUGUUGAAUGAGAAGCACCUCUUUAAUACUUACGAAUUUCUAUAAAGGGGAAUAACUGUGUGGAAAAUUCAAAAGAUAGAAAGGCAGGCUUAUGCUUAAGAUCUUGGGGAGCUAUUGUGUGAUUAGGUUUGAUUGCACUUUUCUUUUUACAUAACAUGAUUUAUAUAUGAACAGAGGCAUUUCAUUAAGAUCUGAAAGCACAAAACAUUUCCUAAUGAAAGCAACAUCAAAUUGUGGGAUGCCAGAGUUUGAAAAUCUAUCACUGGCCACCAGGCUAAUGGAUAUAUGUAUCCUAAACAGCUUUAUAGAGUCUGUAAUAAAUGAGGGCUAAGUGGUUUCAUAUAAACACUGCAUCUAUGAGACAUGUUUGGAAUAUUAGGUGCUAUGUUUAUGAAUCAUCCCUCUCCUCACCAAACGUGCUGGCAAAAUACAUAUACCCUUGAGUGAAAACAUCUACCAGAAAUUAUAGCCUACAUAAUAGAACACAUGAAAAGAACUUUGAGCAGAAACCCAAAGGAAAGAUCUUUUCAAAAAUACAUUCUAUGGCAGAUGUGACAACGUUUCAAAUCUUUGUUUUUAAAGUCUACAGAAUUAAAUACUAACAUAUAAUUACUGAAAAUUUAGUAAAUCCAAAUUCAAAUGUGCAGCCCAGUGAUUUCAGUAAAUGCUCAAUGUGAUGACAAAAUCACACAUCAUUAUUUUUCAGAGGUUUCAAAACAAGAAAAAUGAGAAAAUACAGUAUUUACUCCAAGAUGUACCUUUGGAUCUUUACCUGCCAGAAUUACCUGGCUAAUAAAAGGACCCAGCAAGGAAGACAUAAGUAAACACUAUUAGAAUAAAUUAGCAGUAACUCUAUGAUAGGAGUAAGUAAGAAACAAAUGCUUAAUUCAGCGUGAUUGACAAAAGGGUCACAGUGGAUCUCAUAAACUGGAAGGAUUGUUUUUCUCCUGUGAAGUAGGAGGACCCAUUUUAAAAUUAACUUUAACUCUCAGAUUGAUAAUAAUGUUCCCAGAUACUCUUGCACUAACAGCAUUGGGAAAGCUAGUGUAACCCUUUCUGCAAGUUUCUAACAAAACCAAAAGGACAAGUUGACUCCUAGGAGAAUACUAAAGGUAACGGCUGGGUCUCUGGAGGAGGAAGCCCUCUCUGUAGUGCUUGCCAAUAUUGGUGGUGUAAAUUCUCUUAUUAUAGCCAGUUAUAAGCUAUCAAUAGGAUAUCACUGAGUGUAGAGGAAGGAUGUGUGCCAUUGAUGCUUGCUAAGUGGUAGGAGCCAGCUCCAUCCCACUACGGAGAGACAUUUGUCCUUAAAGCUUUUAAAGAAAGCAUUAACAAA
This 3275-nucleotide long non-coding RNA is filed under the name Sus scrofa (pig). Its description in RNAcentral is "lncRNA (ENSSSCG00000058561.1, ENSSSCG00175023571.1)". The record is from RNAcentral. Lineage: Eukaryota; Metazoa; Chordata; Mammalia; Artiodactyla; Suidae.